UGGGGUGUAGUUCAGUUGGGGAGCACUUGCCUGGUAAGUGCAAGGCCCUGGGUUCCACCCCCAGCACUUCGG
RNAcentral lists this transfer RNA (72 nucleotides) under Heterocephalus glaber (naked mole-rat). It matches the Rfam family "tRNA". From Rfam's summary of the family: Transfer RNA (tRNA) molecules are approximately 80 nucleotides in length. Their secondary structure includes four short double-helical elements and three loops (D, anti-codon, and T loops). The record is from Rfam by way of RNAcentral. Lineage: Eukaryota; Metazoa; Chordata; Mammalia; Rodentia; Bathyergidae.